This 484-nucleotide ribosomal RNA is filed under the name uncultured bacterium. RNAcentral's name for it is "partial 16S ribosomal RNA". It matches the Rfam family "Bacterial small subunit ribosomal RNA", at positions 29 to 507 of the family's 1533-position model. The record is from RNAcentral.
AUUGAACGCUGGCGGCAUGCUUUACACAUGCAAGUCGAACGGCAGCGCGGGCUUCGGCCUGGCGGCGAGUGGCGAACGGGUGAGUAAUACAUCGGAACGUGCCCAGUAGUGGGGGAUAGCUCGGCGAAAGCCGGAUUAAUACCGCAUACGACCUGAGGGUGAAAGCGGGGGAUCUUCGGACCUCGCGCUAUUGGAGCGGCCGAUGGCAGAUUAGCUAGUUGGUGGGGUAAAGGCCUACCAAGGCGACGAUCUGUAGCUGGUCUGAGAGGACGACCAGCCACACUGGGACUGAGACACGGCCCAGACUCCUACGGGAGGCAGCAGUGGGGAAUUUUGGACAAUGGGCGAAAGCCUGAUCCAGCAAUGCCGCGUGUGUGAUGAAGGCCUUCGGGUUGUAAAGCACUUUUGGCGGGAACGAAAAGGACUGUGCCAAUACCACGGUUCGAUGACGGUACCCGCAGAAUAAGCACCGGCUAACUACAUG